AAUAUAACGUUAUUUUAUAUUCAGAUUCAACAAUAAACUGUAUUCUGUGUCACGUUGUUCCAAGUCUCAGUGAGGGUUAAUGAAGUGUCUCCCUGGGCGAGGGUGAACAGCCCUGGUACAUCUCCUAUACUGGGUGAACUGUGAGUGACUGGGGGUCGAACCAUCGAUCUAUGAAACAAGGCGAGCGCUGUAUCUACUAGACCACCGCACUCCUUGGUGUUGUCGUCCCCGGGCGGCGGCAGAGGUAGUGAGGGAGGCCCCGCCCACCAGCAACCAGCAAGGAGAUGGGCGGUGGGCGUGACGGGACGAGGUAGGGGGCGGGCAGUAUCCGGGGGAAACAUCCGGGGGUCGGCUUGGCCACCACCACUGAAUGAAGACGCUCCCUCGAGGCUACCACGACCCGCUCUGGCGCACGCUCCACACUCACCACCACCUGCUGCUCCUCCACCACACCACCUGCUGCCAUCGUCUCCACGGCACCACCACCUGGUAACCCGCCACUGUGGGCAGCGACCUGUUCCUCCCACUGGCUCUCACUUCUGGAGCGCUACUUUUACCACGCACCUGUUCCCUUGUGACGCUAGUUGCCCUCCCUGCUGGUGCUACACCUGUGUCACUGAACACUCAGCAGAGAGCAAAAUGGUUUAAAAUAUCAGAGACAAAGCAAGAAAUAUUGAGAAGAAGAGAGAACAGGUUGGAGGAGGAGGAGGUGGAGGUGGUCGCGUCAGUAGCUGGUGUGGGGGCGGCCGCUCACACCAUCUGCCUGGCACACUCACACACCCACCCACCCCUGGCUAUUAUUAAGCCUAUGGGUGUCUCUCCGCGCUGGGGCUGACGCUGGCGGCCUACCACUACACACUCCCUGCCACCACCACUACCACCCGCCGCCACCACUAUUCACAACCCGCCGCCACCACCAUCCACAACUCGCUACUACCACCAUUGACUACUCUUCAACACCAAUCACAACACACCACCACCACAUUCUCUGCCCCUCCCCCAUCACCUCCCACAUACUCCCCCGCCCUGCCUCCACCACCACUACACCCACACUCACGCUCUGCUCUUCCCCUGGGAACUCGCGCUAUGUAAACAAAAACAUUAUAAUCAACGUUUGUGAAAUCUCUUGUGUGGCGUAACUUUGAGGUCACUGAUGCGGGUGUAUAGUGAAGCUGUGUGUGGUGGGUGACGAAGGAAGGAAACGCUAUGAUGGUGACGUAAUAAGAGGCAGAUGUGUGUGAAGUGACAAUAAACAGGAGUUAAUUCUCGCGUGAGACAUGUGGCCACCAGGGCGGGAUUAGUAGUGUGGUCUGGGCGGCUGAGCUCACCCCAGAGGCCCGGUAAAUGGGAUGCUGCCAUGCCUUCUCCUCCUCCACCACCUUCGUCACAGAUGGUGCAGCCCACCAGCCUCCAGCACCACCUGUAACGUGCUUGGUGCUAUCCAGGCGUGCUCUUCACUGUGUGUAUGAAUUAAGACUAAGUUGAUGAUGAUGAUGAUGAUGAUGAUGAUGAUGAUGAUCUGUGUCUCCAGUAAGUGAGAUUAUGUUAAGUACCUGAGGACUUGUAACACUUGGUGCCUUGAGAGGUGGUGAUGUAUGAGGGAGAUGGUGCCAUGGUUCAGUGAGAUGGUGCCAUGGUGAGGGAGAUAGUGCCAUGGUAAGUGAGAUGGUGCCAUGGUUCAGGGAGAAGGUGCCAUGGAUCAGGGAGAUGGUGCCAUGGUGAGGGAGAUAGUGCCAUGGUUCAGGGAGAAGGUGCCAUGGUUCAGGGAGAUGGUGCCAUGGUUCAGGGAGAUGGUGCCAUGGUUCAGGGAGAUGGUGCUUUGGAUGUUUGAACACUCUUGGACCAUCGAGCGUCGUCACAAUGCAUUGCCAAGGAGCGAUUACAAUGUUGUGUUGUAGUGAUCUUCGGAUUCACCAGUCUGCAAGAUGGUGCUGUUGGGUCAUCAGGUGUAGUGUUACUGUUCAAAUCACCAGCAGGGAGGAUGGCACGACGACUGUGUGACCGUGACUGACUGGGAGGCAGCUUGGUAACUCACAUCUCGAGCGUGGUGACCUUGAGUGUGUGUGUGUGUGUGUGUGUAUGUGUGUGUGUGUGUAUUUGGUGCGCCGCUCACGUGCCUUUUGUUGACAGAUACUUUUUGAAAUUUAACAAAAAACUUGAUGGUGACACAAACCCGGCAGCUUAUUGUGAGUGUUAAAUGGUCUGAUAAUUUUGUUUUAUAACUUAUUUAUAAACACAUUCAAAGGAAACUAGAUCUGUUAGCUCCUUCACUUGUGUUGUAAAGAGAGAUUUUCAUAUUUUGUCUAAGAGGAACUUAUUCCUCAUCUAGUUGGUGACAUCAGGAGACAUUGUAGUAAACAGUAUGGGGUAAUUUGUGGUGUUUGGAAACGGAAAAUAAAUAAGAUAAUUUUGGAUCUUUUAGUGAUUACGAAACACCGUGUGAGAUGAAGGCAGGUGGUACACACUGUUUAUAGUAACGCCCCGAGAAUACUACACUUGUACUCGGAGCAACGCCCUGCCACGCCCAACUACCCCCACGCCUCAGCUACCCACGCCCACACUACCCACGCUUGGCCCACGUGCCCAGCGUCAGCCCACGCCCGCACCUGUGCCAAGUUCCUCGUUUUGCUUGUGCCCCGUUAACUAGUUGAGGAUUCCGCCCACAGCCGCCCACUUUCGACCAGAGGCACCGGUUUAACUUACGCCCGCCCACACAUACACCUGACCGUCCGUCCACGCAUAUCCGCCCACACACCCGCCCGCCCGCAUACCUGGACGUACCACGCGUCCGCUCGCAUAUCUGGACCCAUCUCACCCGCAUACUUUGCCACACAACGCCUGCCCACCCGCACGCCCGCACAUGGCCGCCGCGGAGUGAAAGCAGGUUCUGUGGGCCGCCCGUGAAGGAUGUCUCUGCUGGUAUAUGGCGACGUGACGAGGUCGCUGAGAGAGGAGGUGAGGAAGGUGGCGGGUCCCAACACUAACAUUAUCACCUCCAACCUUCUGCCCCACAUCCUGGGUAACAUGGGCCUCUUCCCCUCCAAGGCUCAAG
RNAcentral lists this long non-coding RNA (3052 nucleotides) under Homarus americanus (American lobster). RNAcentral's name for it is "uncharacterized LOC121865063". Lineage: Eukaryota; Metazoa; Arthropoda; Malacostraca; Decapoda; Nephropidae. The record is from RNAcentral.